AAUAGAUACCCGGGUAGUCCACGCCGUAAACGGUGGGCACUAGGUGUGGGCGACAUUCCACGUCGUCCGUGCCGCAGCUAACGCAUUAAGUGCCCCGCCUGGGGAGUACGGCCGCAAGGCUAAAACUCAAAGGAAUUGACGGGGGGCCCGCACAAGCGGCGGAGCAUGUGGCUUAAUUCGACGCAACGCGAAGAACCUUACCAAGGCUUGACAUACACCGGAAACGUCCAGAGAUGGGCGCCCCCUUGUGGUCGGUGUACAGGCGGUGCAUGGCUGUCGUCAGCUCGUGUCGUGAGAUGUUGGGUUAAGUCCCGCAACGAGCGCAACCCUUGUCCCGUGUUGCCAGCAGGCCCUUGUGGUGCUGGGGACUCACGGGAGACCGCCGGGGUCAACUCGGAGGAAGGUGGGGACGACGUCAAGUCAUCAUGCCCCUUAUGUCUUGGGCUGCACACGUGCUACAAUGGCCGGUACAAUGAGCUGCGAUACCGCGAGGUGGAGCGAAUCUCAAAAAGCCGGUCUCAGUUCGGAUUGGGGUCUGCAACG
This 543-nucleotide ribosomal RNA is filed under the name uncultured bacterium. Its description in RNAcentral is "bacterial SSU rRNA". It matches the Rfam family "Bacterial small subunit ribosomal RNA", at positions 777 to 1312 of the family's 1533-position model. The record is from RNAcentral.